UGGACUGAUGAUGAGUGCCAUGGGGUAUCUGAAGUCGGGAUAUUUUGAUUAAACCCGAAUGCGACUCUGAGGUCCGA
Molecule: small nucleolar RNA, 77 nt
Organism: Oryctolagus cuniculus (rabbit)
Lineage: Eukaryota; Metazoa; Chordata; Mammalia; Lagomorpha; Leporidae
Gene: SNORD113-4
Product: small nucleolar RNA, C/D box 113-4
Source: Ensembl